UACUAUUUUUGGUUUCUUCUAUUUUUCGUAUUUCUUCCGUAGUUUGUUGUUUUAUUUUUUCUAUUUCUUUUUUCCUAUCUAUCUCUUCAUUUUCUUUUUCUAUUCUUACCAUUGCUGUUAAUUUAUCUUCUAAUUUUAAUUCUUCUUUUUCUAACAUUAGAUAUAAAUGUUCACCUAUUUUCUUAUAUCUUCGUCCUAGAUUAGAAAAUACUAUUUUUAUUUUUGAUCCUUCGUAGUUUUCAUAUAUUUUUUCAUCUAUUAUAAAUUCUUCUUUAUUCAUUUUAUUGUGAAUAGUUCAUGUUGAUAUAUAUAUUCUAAACUAUCUAUUUGUGAUUCCAAUUUUGAUAUUUCAUCUUUUUGUGUAUCUAUUGAAUUUUUACUAACUCCGGC
Molecule: long non-coding RNA, 390 nt
Filed under: Capsicum annuum
Lineage: Eukaryota; Viridiplantae; Streptophyta; Magnoliopsida; Solanales; Solanaceae
Description: long non-coding RNA (CANN_LNC020358)
Source: RNAcentral